AUUGCCUCAGUAACGGCGAGUGAAGCGGCAACAGCUCAAAUUUGAAAUCUGGCCCCAGGCCCGAGUUGUAAUUUGCAGAGGAUGCUUUUGGUGAGGUGCCUUCCGAGUUCCCUGGAACGGGACGCCAUAGAGGGUGAGAGCCCCGUCUGGUCGGACACCGAGCCUCUGUAAAGCUCCUUCGACGAGUCGAGUAGUUUGGGAAUGCUGCUCUAAAUGGGAGGUAUAUGUCUUCUAAAGCUAAAUACCGGCCAGAGACCGAUAGCGCACAAGUAGAGUGAUCGAAAGAUGAAAAGCACUUUGAAAAGAGAGUUAAAUAGCACGUGAAAUUGUUGAAAGGGAAGCGUUUAUGACCAGACUUGGCCCGGUUGAUCAUCCAGCGUUCUCGCUGGUGCACUCUGCCGGUCCAGGCCAGCAUCAGUUCGUCGCGGGGGAUAAAGGUUUCGGGAAUGUGGCUCCUCCGGGAGUGUUAUAGCCCGUUGCGUAAUACCCUGCGGUGGACUGAGGUCCGCGCUUCUGCAAGGAUGCUGGCGUAAUGGUCAUCAACGACCCGUCUUGAAACACGGACCAAGGAGUCGUCUUCGUAUGCGAGUGUUCGGGUGUAAAACCCCUACGCGUAAUGAAAGUGAACGCAGGUGAGAGCUUCGGCGCAUCAUCGACCGAUCCUGAUGUUCUCGGAUGGAUUUGAGUAAGAGCAUACGGGGCCGGACCCGAAAGAAGGUGAACUAUGCCUGUAUAGGGUGAAGCCAGAGGAAACUCUGGUGGAGGCUCGCAGCGGUUCUGACGUGCAAAUCGAUCGUCAAAUAUGGGCAUGGGGGCGAAAG
This 821-nucleotide ribosomal RNA is filed under the name Paramyrothecium nigrum. Its description in RNAcentral is "partial large subunit ribosomal RNA". It matches the Rfam family "Eukaryotic large subunit ribosomal RNA", at positions 74 to 929 of the family's 3401-position model. Lineage: Eukaryota; Fungi; Ascomycota; Sordariomycetes; Hypocreales; Stachybotryaceae. The record is from RNAcentral.